CAGGUUAUCAUGGCUUUGAAAUGCAUAACUUCACAUUCUUCGCCAUAAACGUCUUGCAUAGAAUAAAGCAUCAGCUUUACAAGCUGCCUCUUUGCAGAUCGUUCUGUAUGUUUGUAUUAGUCGAUAGAACGAUUUGAUAAGAGGAAACAAACUUUUUUUUAAAUUAAACAAGAUUUUAGAGUGCAUAAACUGGGUUUUCUUUAAGAGUACAUUUGGAUUGUGUGUGUACGAGGGGAUAAAGUGAAUUACCAAAUUAUAAGAGAUACAUGGUUUAGGAUUUAGCAGAUUAGAAGUAGGGAUUAAAAUAGUUAAACACUUUAGU
Schizosaccharomyces pombe (fission yeast) is the source of this 322-nucleotide non-coding RNA. Lineage: Eukaryota; Fungi; Ascomycota; Schizosaccharomycetes; Schizosaccharomycetales; Schizosaccharomycetaceae. The record is from the annotation of a GenBank genome assembly.